Non-coding RNA from Microcebus murinus (gray mouse lemur), 2233 nucleotides. Lineage: Eukaryota; Metazoa; Chordata; Mammalia; Primates; Cheirogaleidae. The record is from RefSeq and is a predicted model, not a curated record.
UGUGAGUAAGGCUUCUGGUCAACAGGAGGCUAUGUAUCAGCAGUUACGUUUGUGGAUAGUCAAAAGUUACAAGCAGAUUUUCAGCAGUGCAGAGGUUCAGUGCCCCUGACUCCUGUAGUUUUGAUUUUUGAGCCAUAUGAAUGGAAUACUUAUUCAAAAAUAAGUGAAAAUAAAAUAACAAUUUUUAAUUUUGUUUAAAGACAGACAAUUUAGCAGAACUUAAAGACAUGUUUUCCAUUUGAAUGGGCCCCCGUGUGUAGAUAAAAACAGUAGAUGAAAACGGAACUACGAUAAGGCACAUCACUGUAAAAUUUGGAGCAUGGGGACCUAGAAAAUUUCCUACAAGUUUCCAGAAAGAGGAUGGGAAAAGAUCUGGAUUCAUAAUGGUUUUGGACUUCGGAACUUCUGAGAGAGAGCAGGCAGUGAGGCAACACCACAGGCCUUUCAAAUUCUAAGAGGAAAUUAUUUCCUGGCUCAAAUUCUAUACUUGGCCAAACUGUCAAAUUAAGUUUGAGGAUAAAGACGUAUUUAGACAGGCAAGUUGUCCAAAACCUUCCCUCCUACACACCCUUUAUUAGACGCUAUCAGAGGAUGUGUUACCCCCAAGAAAGAGGAAAGACUCAGGACCGGAAGAACCACCAGGGCAGUGGUGACAUGAGACCUUGGACAACAGCUGGGCGGCAAGGUCAGAGGGCAGCCGCAGGUCAGAGCAGGUCAAAGACCCCCAGGACAGACUUUCUUAGGAAAAAGAAAUUGUGAGAAUAAGUGAUUUACCUGAAUCUCGAGAGGAGGUUUAUAUAAGCAGCCUGCAGUUGAGGGUUCGAUCAUUGAGAAGAACACAGCAAAUGGAAGCACAAUUAACUCCAGAGGGAAAAAGUUUUCAGGGAAAAUAAAAGUGAUCGUAGCGGGAACUUUCCAGAACGCUCGGUGAGAGGUGGAGGAGCAGCGGUUGCCCAAGCUGCGCACGGCUACGCGCUCCUUCCCGCUCUCCACGUCGGCCUCAGCCCGCUCACCGGCUGUAGAAAAUGGUGAAAGAAACCACUUACUAUGAUGUUUUGGGGGUCAAACCCAAUGCCACUCAUGAAGAGUUGAAAAAGGCUUAUAGGAAAGUGGCCUUGAAGUACCACCCUGAUAAGAGUCCAAAUGAAGGAGAGAAGUUUAAACAGAUUUCUCAAGCUUACGAAGUUCUCUCUGAUGCAAAGAAAAGGGAACUAUAUGACAAAGGAGGAGAACAGGCAAUUAAAGAGGGUGGAGCAGGUGGUGGUUUUGGCUCCCCCAUGGACAUCUUUGAUAUGUUUUUUGGAGGAGGAGGAAGGAUGCAAAGAGAAAGGAGAGGUAAAAAUGUUGUACAUCAGCUUUCAGUAACCUUAGAAGAUUUAUAUAAUGGUGCAACAAGAAAACUGGCUCUGCAAAAGAAUGUGAUUUGUGACAAAUGUGAAGGCCAAGGUGGUAAGAAAGGAGCAGUAGAGUGCUGUCCCAAUUGCCGAGGUACUAGAAUGCAAAUAAGAAUUCAUCAGAUAGGACCUGGAAUGGUCCAGCAAAUUCAGUCAGUGUGCAUGGAGUGCCAGGGCCAUGGGGAACGGAUCAGUCCUAAAGACAGAUGUAAAAGCUGCAAUGGAAGGAAGAUAGUUCGAGAAAAGAAGAUUCUAGAAGUUCAUAUUGACAAAGGCAUGAAAGAUGGCCAGAAGAUAACAUUCCAUGGUGAAGGAGACCAAGAACCAGGACUACAGCCAGGAGAUAUUAUCAUUGUGUUAGAUCAGAAGGACCAUGCUGUUUUUACUUGACGAGGAGAAGACCUUUUCAUGUGUAUGGACAUACAGCUGGUUGAAGCAUUAUGCGGCUUCCAGAAGCCAAUAUCUACUCUUGACAACCAAACCAUAGUCAUCACCUCUCAUCCAGAUUGUCAAGCAUGGAGAUAUCAAGUGUGUGCUAAAUGAAGGCAUGCCAAUUUAUCGUAGACCAUAUGAAAAGGGUCGCCUAAUCAUCGAAUUUAAGGUAAAUUUUCCUGAAAAUGUUUCUUUCUCCUGAUAAACUGUUCUUUGCUGGAAAAUUCUGAGAGGAAGGAAGUAGAAGAGACUGAUGAAAUGAUCAAGUAGAACUCGUGACUUUGAUCCAAAUCAGAGGAGACGGCGCAUUACAAUGGAGAAGCAUAUGAGGAUGAUGAACAUCAUCCCAGAGGUGGUGUUCAGUGUCAACCUCUUAAUCGAGGCCAGUGAAUGAGACUCACUGCUGA